AUGAACGCUAGCUACAGGCUUAACACAUGCAAGUCGAGGGGCAGCAUGGUCUUAGCUUGCUAAGGCCGAUGGCGACCGGCGCACGGGUGAGUAACACGUAUCCAACCUGCCGUCUACUCUUGGACAGCCUUCUGAAAGGAAGAUUAAUACAAGAUGGCAUCAUGAGUCCGCAUGUUCACAUGAUUAAAGGUAUUCCGGUAGACGAUGGGGAUGCGUUCCAUUAGAUAGUAGGCGGGGUAACGGCCCACCUAGUCUUCGAUGGAUAGGGGUUCUGAGAGGAAGGUCCCCCACAUUGGAACUGAGACACGGUCCAAACUCCUACGGGAGGCAGCAGUGAGGAAUAUUGGUCAAUGGGCGAGAGCCUGAACCAGCCAAGUAGCGUGAAGGAUGACUGCCCUAUGGGUUGUAAACUUCUUUUAUAAAGGAAUAAAGUCGGGUAUGGAUACCCGUUUGCAUGUACUUUAUGAAUAAGGAUCGGCUAACUCCGUGCCAGCAGCCGCGGUAAUACGGAGGAUCCGAGCGUUAUCCGGAUUUAUUGGGUUUAAAGGGAGCGUAGAUGGAUGUUUAAGUCAGUUGUGAAAGUUUGCGGCUCAACCGUAAAAUUGCAGUUGAUACUGGAUAUCUUGAGUGCAGUUGAGGCAGGCGGAAUUCGUGGUGUAGCGGUGAAAUGCUUAGAUAUCACGAAGAACUCCGAUUGCGAAGGCAGCCUGCUAAGCUGCAACUGACAUUGAGGCUCGAAAGUGUGGGUAUCAAACAGGAUUAGAUACCCUGGUAGUCCACACGGUAAACGAUGAAUACUCGCUGUUUGCGAUAUACAGCAAGCGGCCAAGCGAAAGCGUUAAGUAUUCCACCUGGGGAGUACGCCGGCAACGGUGAAACUCAAAGGAAUUGACGGGGGCCCGCACAAGCGGAGGAACAUGUGGUUUAAUUCGAUGAUACGCGAGGAACCUUACCCGGGCUUAAAUUGCAGAUGAAUUACGGUGAAAGCCGUAAGCCGCAAGGCAUCUGUGAAGGUGCUGCAUGGUUGUCGUCAGCUCGUGCCGUGAGGUGUCGGCUUAAAUGCCAUAACGAGCGCAACCCUUGUUGUCAGUUACUAACAGGUUCCGCUGAGGACUCUGACAAGACUGCCAUCGUAAGAUGUGAGGAAGGUGGGGAUGACGUCAAAUCAGCACGGCCCUUACGUCCGGGGCUACACACGUGUUACAAUGGGGGGUACAGAGGGCCGCUACCACGCGAGUGGAUGCCAAUCCCAAAAACCUCUCUCAGUUCGGACUGGAGUCUGCAACCCGACUCCACGAAGCUGGAUUCGCUAGUAAUCGCGCAUCAGCCACGGCGCGGUGAAUACGUUCCCGGGCCUUGUACACACCGCCCGUCAAGCCAUGGGAGCCGGGGGUACCUGAAGUGCGUAACCGCGAGGAGCGCCCUAGGGUAAAACUGGUGACUGGGGCUAAGU
This 1453-nucleotide ribosomal RNA is filed under the name uncultured organism. RNAcentral's name for it is "SSU rRNA". It matches the Rfam family "Bacterial small subunit ribosomal RNA". The record is from RNAcentral.